AAAAUGCGGCUGCCAACACCUUACUGGAAAUCCCUCCUCGGCCACCAAAGCCGACGCCACCACUCCCAAAAGAAAGCCCUUAACUCACCGGUCAAAACAAGACUGGCCCCGCCACCAUUGGAAGGCCGGAAACGCCUAGAUCGGUAGCAAGAAAGCCGUUGCCGCUGCACUCGCCGGCCUCCGCUGCGCCUUCGGCUAGCUCUGUCGCAUGCCCCGAUGGCUUGCCCCGGACGUCGCCCCUUUCUUUUCC
Molecule: long non-coding RNA, 250 nt
Filed under: Ricinus communis (castor bean)
Lineage: Eukaryota; Viridiplantae; Streptophyta; Magnoliopsida; Malpighiales; Euphorbiaceae
Description: long non-coding RNA (RCOM_LNC000862)
Source: RNAcentral